RNAcentral lists this small RNA (136 nucleotides) under uncultured Lachnospira sp. Its description in RNAcentral is "Clostridiales-1 RNA". It matches the Rfam family "Clostridiales-1 RNA". Lineage: Bacteria; Bacillati; Bacillota; Clostridia; Lachnospirales; Lachnospiraceae. The record is from RNAcentral.
ACAGCGUCAAAAGGUCGUAAGCCCACUUGUGCUUGCAUAAUAGUGGGGGAAUAACCUUGGAACACGCCCCAAAAUUGGAGCAUAAUGCGAAUGUUGGUAAGGAUUGUGGGAGUGCAAAGUACGAAACAAUCCGUGU